UGGGGAAUCUUGGACAAUGGGGGCGAACCCUCGAUCCAGCCAUGCCGCGUGAGUGAUGAAGGCCUUAGGGUCGUAAAGCUCUUUCGCCUGUGAAGAUAAUGACGGUAGCAGGUAAAGAAACCCCGGCUAACUCCGUGCCAGCAGCCGCGGUAAUACGGAGGGGGGUUAGCGUUGUUCGGAAUUACUGGGCGUAAAGCGCACGUAGGCGGACCAGAAAGUUGGGGGUGAAAUCCCGGGGGCUCAACCCCGGAACUGCCUCCAAAACUAUUGGUCUAGAGUUCGAGAGAGGUGAGUGGGAAUUCCAAGUGUAGAGGUGAAAUUCGUAGAUAUUUGGAGGAACACCAGUGGCGAAGGCGGCUCACUGGCUCGAUACUGACGCUGAGGUGCGAAAGUGUGGGGAGCAAACAGGAUUAGAUACCCUGGGUAGUCCACACCGUAAAACGAUGAAUGCCAGUCGUCGGGUAGCAUGCUAUUCGGUGACACACCU
Molecule: ribosomal RNA, 487 nt
Filed under: uncultured bacterium
Lineage: Bacteria
Description: bacterial SSU rRNA
Rfam family: Bacterial small subunit ribosomal RNA
Source: RNAcentral